Carcharodon carcharias (great white shark) is the source of this 139-nucleotide small nuclear RNA. RefSeq annotates it as U11 spliceosomal RNA. The record is from RefSeq and is a predicted model, not a curated record. NCBI's taxonomy places the organism in Eukaryota, Metazoa, Chordata, Chondrichthyes, Lamniformes, Lamnidae. The transcript has a single exon.
ACAAAGGGUUUCUGCUGUGAACAGCACAUGGACAAGGCGCUUGCGCUUUAUCCAUGUGGAAUCGAUAUCAAGAGAUUUCAGAAGCACAAUUUUUGUUUCUUGGAGCUUGGAGCUGGUGAUCGCUUGUCUCGGCGCUCCG